GGGGCUGGCGGGUGCUAUACAUGCAAGUCGAGCGAACUGACGAGGAGCUUGCUCCUUUGACGUUAGCGGCGGACGGGUGAGUAACACGUGGGUAACCUACCUAUAAGACUGGAAUAACUCCGGGAAACCGGGGCUAAUGCCGGAUAACAUAUCGAACCGCAUGGUUCGAUAGUGAAAGACGGUUUUGCUGUCACUUAUAGAUGGACCCGCGCCGUAUUAGCUAGUUGGUGAGGUAACGGCUCACCAAGGCGACGAUACGUAGCCGACCUGAGAGGGUGAUCGGCCACACUGGAACUGAGACACGGUCCAGACUCCUACGGGAGGCAGCAGUAGGGAAUCUUCCGCAAUGGGCGAAAGCCUGACGGAGCAACGCCGCGUGAGUGAUGAAGGUCUUCGGAUCGUAAAGCUCUGUUGUUAGGGAAGAACAAAUGUGUAAGUAACUGUGCACAUCUUGACGGUACCUAACCAGAAAGCCACGGCUAACUACGUGCCAGCAGCCGCGGUAAUACGUAGGUGGCAAGCGUUAUCCGGAAUUAUUGGGCGUAAAGCGCGCGUAGGCGGUUUUUUAAGUCUGAUGUGAAAGCCCACGGCUCAACCGUGGAGGGUCAUUGGAAACUGGAAAACUUGAGUGCAGAAGAGGAAAGUGGAAUUCCAUGUGUAGCGGUGAAAUGCGCAGAGAUAUGGAGGAACACCAGUGGCGAAGGCGGCUUUCUGGUCUGUAACUGACGCUGAUGUGCGAAAGCGUGGGGAUCAAACAGGAUUAGAUACCCUGGUAGUCCACGCCGUAAACGAUGAGUGCUAAGUGUUAGGGGGUUUCCGCCCCUUAGUGCUGCAGCUAACGCAUUAAGCACUCCGCCUGGGGAGUACGGUCGCAAGACUGAAACUCAAAGGAAUUGACGGGGACCCGCACAAGCGGUGGAGCAUGUGGUUAAUUCGAAGCAACGCGAAGACCUUACCAAUCUUGACUCUUUUGACGCUCCUAAGAGAAAAGUUUCCUCUUCGAGGACAAAUGACGGGGGUGAUGUUGCCGUCAGUCCGGCCUGGAAAUGUGGGUAGUCCGCACGAGGCACCCUUGACUAAUUGCCUCUUAAGUGGGCCUUUAAUUGAUGCGGGGAAAACCCGGGAAAAGGGGGGAAACCCAACCUUGCCCUUAGUUUGGGUCCCCGGUCAUGGAAAAAAAGGGGGACCGGGGGGAA
Molecule: ribosomal RNA, 1196 nt
Filed under: Staphylococcus chromogenes
Lineage: Bacteria; Bacillati; Bacillota; Bacilli; Caryophanales; Staphylococcaceae
Description: bacterial SSU rRNA
Rfam family: Bacterial small subunit ribosomal RNA
Source: RNAcentral